RNAcentral lists this small nuclear RNA (164 nucleotides) under Neotoma lepida (desert woodrat). Its description in RNAcentral is "U1 spliceosomal RNA". It matches the Rfam family "U1 spliceosomal RNA". From Rfam's summary of the family: U1 is a small nuclear RNA (snRNA) component of the spliceosome (involved in pre-mRNA splicing). Its 5' end forms complementary base pairs with the 5' splice junction, thus defining the 5' donor site of an intron. There are significant differences in sequence and secondary structure between metazoan and yeast U1 snRNAs, the latter being much longer (568 nucleotides as compared to 164 nucleotides in human). Lineage: Eukaryota; Metazoa; Chordata; Mammalia; Rodentia; Cricetidae. The record is from Rfam by way of RNAcentral.
AUACUUACCUGGCAGGGGAGAUACCAUGAUCACGCAGGUGGUUUUCCCAGGGCGAGGCUUAUCCAUUUCACUCCAGAUGUGCUGACCCCUGCGAUUUCCCCAAAUGCAGGAAACUCGACUGCAUAAUUUGUAGUGGUGGGGGACUGAGUUCGCACUCUCCCCUG